RNAcentral lists this ribosomal RNA (497 nucleotides) under uncultured bacterium. Its description in RNAcentral is "partial 16S ribosomal RNA". It matches the Rfam family "Bacterial small subunit ribosomal RNA", at positions 28 to 507 of the family's 1533-position model. The record is from RNAcentral.
GAUGAACGCUGGCGGCGUGCCUAAUACAUGCAAGUCGAACGCAUAGCGAAAGGUGCUUGCACCUUUCAAGUGAGUGGCGAACGGGUGAGUAACACGUGGACAACCUGCCUCAAGGCUGGGGAUAACAUUUGGAAACAGAUGCUAAUACCGAAUAAAACUUAGUGUCGCAUGACACAAAGUUAAAAGGCGCUUCGGCGUCACCUAGAGAUGGAUCCGCGGUGCAUUAGUUAGUUGGUGGGGUAAAGGCCUACCAAGACAAUGAUGCAUAGCCGAGUUGAGAGACUGAUCGGCCACAUUGGGACUGAGACACGGCCCAAACUCCUACGGGAGGCUGCAGUAGGGAAUCUUCCACAAUGGGCGAAAGCCUGAUGGAGCAACACCGCGUGUGUGAUGAAGGCUUUCGGGUCGUAAAGCACUGUUGUAUGGGAAGAACAGCUAGAAUAGGAAAUGAUUUUAGUUUGACGGUACCAUACCAGAAAGGGACGGCUAAAUACGUG